RNAcentral lists this ribosomal RNA (551 nucleotides) under Rhodotorula taiwanensis. RNAcentral's name for it is "LSU rRNA". It matches the Rfam family "Eukaryotic large subunit ribosomal RNA", at positions 85 to 651 of the family's 3401-position model. Lineage: Eukaryota; Fungi; Basidiomycota; Microbotryomycetes; Sporidiobolales; Sporidiobolaceae. The record is from RNAcentral.
AGCGGCGAGCGAAGCGGGAAGAGCUCAAAUUUAUAAUCUGGCACCUUCGGUGUCCGAGUUGUAAUCUCUAGAAGUGUUUUCCGCGUUGGACCGCACACAAGUCUGUUGGAAUACAGCGGCAUAGUGGUGAGACCCCCGUAUAUGGUGCGGACGCCCAACGCUUUGUGAUACACUUUCGAAGAGUCGAGUUGUUUGGGAAUGCAGCUCAAAUUGGGUGGUAAAUUCCAUCUAAAGCUAAAUAUUGGCGAGAGACCGAUAGCGAACAAGUACCGUGAGGGAAAGAUGAAAAGCACUUUGGAAAGAGAGUUAACAGUACGUGAAAUUGUUGGAAGGGAAACGCUUGAAGUCAGACUUGCUUGCCGAGCAAUCGGUUUGCAGGCCAGCAUCAGUUUUCCGGGGUGGAUAAUGGUAGAGAGAAGGUAGCAGUUUCGGCUGUGUUAUAGCUCUUUGCUGGAUACACCUUGGGGGACUGAGGAACGCAGUGUGCCUUACGGCGGAUUUCUCGAGAUCUUCACACUUAGGAUGCUGGUGGAAUGGCUUUAAACGACCCG